AUUUCUAGCUUGCUAGAAGAUGACGAGCGGCGGACGGGUGAGUAAUGCUUGGGAAUAUGCCUUAUGGUGGGGGACAACAGUUGGAAACGACUGCUAAUACCGCAUAACGUCUACGGACCAAAGGGGGGGAUCUUCGGACCUCUCGCCAUUUGAUUAGCCCAAGUGAGAUUAGCUAGUUGGUGAGGUAAUGGCUCACCAAGGCGACGAUCUCUAGCUGGUUUGAGAGGAUGAUCAGCCGCACUGGGACUGAGACACGGCCCAGACUCCUACGGGAGGCAGCAGUGGGGAAUAUUGCACAAUGGGCGAAAGCCUGAUGCAGCCAUGCCGCGUGUGUGAAGAAGGCCUUCGGGUUGUAAAGCACUUUCAGUUGUGAGGAAAGGGGUGUAGUUAAUAACUGCAUCCUGUGACGUUAACAACAGAAGAAGCACCGGCUAACUUCGUGCCAGCAGCCGCGGUAAUACGAGGGGUGCAAGCGUUUAUCGGAAUUACUGGGCGUAAAGCGUUCGUAGGCGGUCUAUUAAGCAAGAUGUGAAAGCCCAGGGCUCAACCUUGGAACUGCAUUUUGAACUGGUAGACUAGAGUACUGUAGA
Molecule: ribosomal RNA, 590 nt
Filed under: uncultured Colwellia sp.
Lineage: Bacteria; Pseudomonadati; Pseudomonadota; Gammaproteobacteria; Alteromonadales; Colwelliaceae
Description: bacterial SSU rRNA
Rfam family: Bacterial small subunit ribosomal RNA
Source: RNAcentral